AUAGGAGGAGGAGAGACUUGCCCACACUGAGCUCCGUUGGAUCGCGGAGGGUCCCCUAUGGAAGGGGUGGGAGCCCCAUCAUGGGGGCCAUUGAGAACUAGGCUGGAUGCAGCACAGGUGACUGGACUGCCCUCCAUCAGCUACUUGCUGGACUAGAUGGGCAAUAGUGUCUAAAGGGAAGCAGUGGAUGUGCCACUGUCUGGGCAUUUCAGACAGACUGGAACGAACAACAGGCCCCAUCUCUCCUUCUGCAGGUCAUACUCAGUCUUGGCAUCAGAGCACCUGUCUCCCACUGGCCUGAAUGCACUGGGGCCGAGUGAAUUGACGAGCCAGAGUCUCCCAUCCCAUGUGCUGAUGCAAGUCAGGAGGAACUCCAAAGCCAUCAACAGGGUUACACCAGAUGGUGAAACUGAGGCAGAGAGAGGGGACGGGACUUAUCCAUGGCCAAACAGUGAGUCAAUGGCAGCAUCCCGAUUCCUACUCAAAGCACUAAAUCUCCUGGAGGACAGGUAGAUUUGGCCUUAUGCUCAUCCAGUAAGAGAGCAGAAAUGAUAGCGUGUGAGCUAAGCAUCCAAUCAAAACAGCUUGAAUUCUGCAUCCCAAAUGCUUGUGGUGAACAAGACAGACCAAGAAUCAUACAUGACAAUUAUUCCACAAAUAAUUUCCAGUUGCAAUUGCAACUACACUUGCAUUGAUCCUGAUCUAUUCAUGGACAAUUGGCUCACAGAAAAAAGAGGCAAAGGGAUUGUGCCUGUCCAUCUUGAGUUCUUGACUGUUUGUUGUACUUGAACAGUUUUUGCAAGGAUUGGGUGUAUCCUGGCUGAAUUCCUGAUUGGGUAUCUACACUCAAUCUCCAUAAAUUCCUCCUGUAGGUACAGCUGGCUGUGGUGUUCAGCAACUUCCUGCCCUAAACUAACUUUUAUCAUCAUUGUGUUGUUGACGGCUGUUAAAUGGCACUGAGUUCUGCCUUGGAGAUGGUUGCAUUUCAGUACUAGCUAAGGUGAUCCGUGUGUGUGUGUGUGUGUGUGUGUUAAAUGGCACAGAUAAAGCUAAGGAAAAACACCCUGAGCUAAGUAAAUCCAAGUUAACAACCACUUUGAGCCAGCUGGUGUUUGUCUUCUGACAGCUCUUGGAGGAAGCCCCAAGAGACUGGAGAGACGCCACCAUCCAUUUAACCUCUAGUCCACUCUUGCUAAGGGUAACAUCUGCUUCUUGGUGAAACAAGCCUUCCCAGGGGACCUGCACAUUCUGCUCCAUUCCACAUUCUCCGAGGAGGCUGUGGCAAUGCUGUGGUGAUGGGCACAGUAUCAGCAUAAAUUAGAUUAGUGUAGACAGACCCUCAUCACAAUCAGCCCAUAGUCUGGCAGGUGGUGAUACUCCAGUGCUCAGUAAACUUUAUCUUCCCUUUUCCUGGUUUUUUUUUUUUUUUUUUAAAAACAAACAAACAGGCACUAGAAAUUAAAAAUGGUUCCCAAUUUUCUCAUGGGCCUCUUUCAGUCCCUUACUCCCUCUGGGUCUCCGUCGUCCAGCAGCACCAGGAUGACAAUUGUAAUCUCUCUUUCCUCCCCCCUCCCUUUGUCUGUUUAGGCCCCAAUCCUGCAAUAAGCUGCCCACAGCGGCAGGGAUUGUCUGUGCACAUCCCCCUGCAGGAUUGGUGCAGGGACUGUCUCUCACCCUGACCUUGGCUGGGGCCUCGAGCUUCUGUGCUAAUGCAAAUACGAAUCAGUAUAAAUCUGACAAGACUUGGGGAGAGUUCCACCAUUCCCCUCCAGGAUCUGCCAUAUACAGAAUCCUCCUGUUUAUCCAAAACUGUUAUCCAAACCUCUGCAUUCUCCUGCUGUCUUCCUUGUCCCCCAGCAUGAGAUACCUGCCCUCUGCAGCUUGGAACAGUUCUGGAAGAUUGAGAGAAAUCUCCUGGCUCACUCUGGUCAGGGUACGGACCGAGAUCACACUGCCACCUCCUCCAGCUCUGGCUGAAUCCUGAAUAUCACCUGGGAUGUGAGACGAGGGGCUUGCCACUGUAGCUGUGCAGCUGUAGACACAUCAGUGUAGACACCACCUAUGCCGCGUGGCGGGGGGGGCAGGUAUCCUGUCAGGGUAACUAGUCCACCUCCCGGAGAGGCAGUGGCUAAUUCUUCCAUCAACCUAGUGCUGUCUACACGGGGAUUUAGGCUUAACAACGCCACCCGGGGGAAGGGGGGGGGGUUGAUUUUUCACACUCUUGACUGAUGUAGUUAAACCAACCUAGUUUUUUUGUGUAGGCCAAGCCUGUAAUACACACCUCCCUCUAUGUGUCCUUUUCUCCCCACAAUUAUUUCUUCUUUCCCCUUUUGCCUUCUCUCUGGUUUACUCGGCCAGGAUUUCACAUUUUGCCACACUGCUGUGAGCCUGUGACCAGGAAGAGGCAGCUAAAAGCAAUGCCCUGAACAGCCCGAUGCUGGUACAAGUUUGCGAGUCUCAGCGUGGCCCAUCCGACUGUGCGCUGGGCCCCAAUUUCAGCACCGACGCUGCAAGUGAUAAGCAGCACUAGAGACAGAUGCUUCGUUUUCUCCUUUUGCUGUUCUUUUCUCUUCCCUUUGGCAUGUAUUUGCCUUGUUUUGUCUCCUUAGGAUCAGACUAACAAAAGCAGCAACAAUGACAGCUCCAGCCGCUCUCCGCUAACUCCUUCUCUAGUCCCCAAAAGCCCAGUUAUCUCAUCUUCAAUACCCUCUAACACACUGUCAGACAAAGGGCCUUUUCCUUCUAAAACUCUCUCCAGUUAAAGGGCAAGAGAACAAGAGAUGCUGUUACGAUGGAAGCCUUGCUUAACACUUCCAUUGCAAACGCUCUGACUUUGUUUUCUGUAUCUUUAAUAGAAGUUAAAAAGGAUUUUUGCUAAUGUGUCUCCCAUGGUCUAAGUGGGCUGAGGUCUGUGCAUCAAACCCCAAACCUUGUUUAACACUGGACAGUGAUGAGGUGAUGUUAACACCUCUGAUGCCUUCUAAAUCAAUACCGCACACCCUUUGGGACAGUUGGGCCAGAUGGGGAAAGAGCAUUUGCUGCUGACAAUAGCCCUAAAGAGCAUCCUGAAUUAAGCAUCUGUCAUGGCUCCCAGUCUCUGAUCUGCUGCAGGAAGCAAUUUUCACUGCAUUUUCUUUAAACUGGCAGCUGAUCAUCAAUCAGUUGGCUUUUCUCCCCCCUCUGCCUCUUCCCCCCACCCCCAUUUAUAUUAAUACCCUGUGCACCCAGCCAUCCAACCAUGUCAUAGCAAGGCCCAAUCCCACACAGCCCUUCUAGGCUCUGACCCCCAUUUGGCAGGGAACCUUCUGCUUUCAGUUGGGGCAAGAGGAUGCUCAGUAUCCCAGACCAAGUCAAGAUCACCCCUUUAUAGCCAAAGGAUGCAAGACCAGUGUCACCAGCCCCUAUUUACAGGUAGGGAAACUGAGGCACAAAGGAUUGCUGUGGCUCACAGAAGGCAGCUCUGCGAGUCAGUGCAGUAGCUGGGGGACAGAACCCAGGAGUCCUGUCUCCAUCUUGUGGCAUAAUGUGCUUCCAGCCACCCCCCAAAAUUAAAUCCCUGCCCUCUCAAACCGCGAAUCAUUGUUAAGACUCUUACAGAAUAAGAUUAUUAGUAAUGGAGUGAGGAAUUCUCUGUUUAAUCUAACUGGCUCCAGUCUUUCUAUUCCCACCCAUCCCUUUCUCUCUGUACAUCUGUCCCAAAGUUUUCCAGCAGUCUGACCAUCUCACUAGUCCUUUCUGACCCAGGCGAUUCAGCAUUAGCACUGUGGCAUGUCAAAGGUGUGUGUGUGGGGAGGGGGGCACAGGGUUAGCUUCCUCCAUGGAGUAAACCCUUUCUGUUAAUCCAGACUCCCCAGCAGCAUUUCACGACCCAAGGAUCUGUGUGGGAUUAAGAGAUGAAGAACUGGAAAGGAGUGGGAGAAGCAGGGUACAGGGUGGAUACCCAUUGCCACACACCCACGAAAGAGGCCUUCAGUGCAGAGAAGUGAGGCUAAGGGAAAGGCAGGCUAGUCAUGUGGUUAAGCUGGCUAGCACCCAGGAGACCUGGCUUCUACUCUCGGCUCUGCCACAGACACUGUGUGACCUUGAGCACAUCACUUACUCUGUUCCUCUGUAAAAUGGAGAUUGCGAUCCUUCCUUUGUCUGUUAGAUCAGUGGCUCUUGACUUUUCCUGACCACUGAAUCCCUUUCAAGAGGCUGAUUUAACUUAUGUAUCCCAAAUUUCACCUCACUUAAAAACAACUUACUUACAAACUCAGACAUAAAAGUACCAAAGUGUCACAGUACACUGUUACUGAAAAAUUGCUCACUCAUUUUUACCAUAUAUUAUAAAAUAAAUCAAGUGGAAUAUAAAUCUUGUACUUGCAUGUCAGUGUAUAGUAUAUAGAGCAGUAUAAACAAGUCAUUGUCUGUAUGAAAUUUUAGUUUGUACUGACUUUGCUAGUGCUGUUUAUGUAGCCUGUUGUAAAACUAGGCAAAUCUCUAGAGUUGCUGUCCCCCCUGGAAGACCCCCAUGUACUCCCAGGGGUACAUGCACACCCUGGUUGAGAACCACUGUGUUAGAUGGUGAGAUCAGAGGGCAGGGCUGGUUCUCUGGGUGCGCAGCGCUUAGCACGCUGGGCCCUGAUCCGACUGGGGCUGCCAAUGGAAUUCAGCCUGAGGCUACACUGUUCCCCCGACCCCACCAGCUCCUUCCUGGUUAGUGGGGAUUGCCCCUUUAGAGAGGAGCUUGCCCCCAUGUGGUUUUCCAGCAGGAGGGGGCAAUGGGGCCCAGAGGGAUUAAUGAGCCUGAAGCCAGAAGAAGCCCUGUUUAAGAAGCAGAUUCCUCUGCAACUCCCAUGUUCCCCCACCCAGAGGAACAGAAGGGCUGCACCUGCCCUCUGACCCCUCCAGGUGCCUUCCUAAAGGAGGGCCAGAUUAUCACCCAAUCUAGCCUGCAAAAGGGCAGCCUAGGGAGAGACGCCAUUGUCCUGGGAUCUGCUCUGCAAAUUGCUCUCCCCCACUGGCUUCGCUGCAGCCGAAUAAGAAGCAGGGGACACUGGGGGUUGUGCACGCAGGAAUGUGGGGUGCUGGGCAGCGCUGAGACCUGCUGGCGCGUGGGCUCCCAUCCUGGAGGGAAAGGGAGCAGCGGGGCUUGGCACACCUUAGGAUCAGGCCCUGGAAAGAGGCCACCCUACUUUGCCGGCGGAGCAGAGACGGGCAGCGACAGCUGGACGUGCACAGCUGCCUGCCCGGGGCAGGCGCUGGGAGGCCACUAGCGCUGCUGCCCCCUCGCCCAGGGCGGGUCACAGCCACACAUUCGCCCAGGAGCCUACAGCCUAAGCCCAGGGACCUUAUGAGCUCGGCAGGGGCUACGUGAGAACUGCCUGGACUCUCCAGCAGCACGUUUGCUGGGCUGCAGGCAGCGUUCCACGCCGAGGCAGAGGGGGUGCUCACCCCAGACACCCACUGCGAGCCGGGGGGUGCGGGCAGCUAGUUGUGCAUCCCGCGCUGCGUCUGUCCGUGCGAUGCUCCUCCGAGCAGGGU
Long non-coding RNA from Dermochelys coriacea (leatherback sea turtle), 5523 nucleotides. RefSeq lists it as uncharacterized. NCBI's taxonomy places the organism in Eukaryota, Metazoa, Chordata, Testudines, Dermochelyidae. The record is from RefSeq and is a predicted model, not a curated record. The transcript is spliced from 4 exons.